GGCCUCGUAGCUCACUCAGCUGGUAGAGCGUUCGCUGUACAAAAGAGUAGGCGGCGACCGUGCGUGGGUUCAAAUCCCACCAAGGUUA
RNAcentral lists this transfer RNA (88 nucleotides) under Echinostoma caproni. It matches the Rfam family "tRNA". From Rfam's summary of the family: Transfer RNA (tRNA) molecules are approximately 80 nucleotides in length. Their secondary structure includes four short double-helical elements and three loops (D, anti-codon, and T loops). Lineage: Eukaryota; Metazoa; Platyhelminthes; Trematoda; Plagiorchiida; Echinostomatidae. The record is from Rfam by way of RNAcentral.